UACAGAGGUCCCAAGCGUUGUUCGGAUUCAUUGGGCGUAAAGGGUGCGUAGGCGGCGCGGUAAGUCGGGUGUGAAAUCUCGGAGCUUAACUCCGAAACUGCAUUCGAUACUGCCGUGCUUGAGGACUGGAGAGGAGACUGGAAUUUACGGUGUAGCGGUGAAAUGCGUAGAUAUCGUAAGGAAGACCAGUGGCGAAGGCGGGUCUCUGGGCCAUAACUGACGCUGAGAAGCGAAAGCAUGGGGAGCGAACAGG
Molecule: ribosomal RNA, 253 nt
Filed under: uncultured bacterium
Lineage: Bacteria
Description: partial 16S ribosomal RNA
Rfam family: Bacterial small subunit ribosomal RNA
Source: RNAcentral